CAGCAGCCACGGGAAUACGAAGGGUGCAAGCGCUAAUCGGAAUUACUGGGCGUAAAGCGUGCGUAGGCGGUUUGUUAAGUCUGCUGUGAAAUCCCCGGGCUCAACCUGGGAAUGGCAGUGGAUACUGGCAAGCUAGAGUCUUGUAGAGGGGGGUAGAAUUCCAGGUGUAGCGGUGAAAUGCGUAGAGAUCUGGAGGAAUACCGGUGGCGAAGGCGGCCCCCUGGACAAAGACUGACGCUCAGGUGCGAAAGCGUGGGGAGCAAACAGGAUUAGAUACCCGCGUAGUCCCUGUCUCUUAUAC
This 301-nucleotide ribosomal RNA is filed under the name uncultured bacterium. Its description in RNAcentral is "partial 16S ribosomal RNA". It matches the Rfam family "Bacterial small subunit ribosomal RNA", at positions 509 to 807 of the family's 1533-position model. The record is from RNAcentral.